CCUACGGGUGGCAGCAGUAACGAAUCUUCCCCAAUGCACGAAAGUGUGAGGGAGCGACGCCGCGUGCGGGACGAAGCCCUUCGGGGUGUAAACCGUAAAAGAGCGAGGGAAAGUUCUGAUCCCUGCUCAGUAAGGAGCGACUAACUCUGUGCCAGCAGUCGCGGUAAUACAGAGGCUCCAAGCGUUAGGCGGAAUCACUGGGCUUAAAGCGUGCGUAGGCGGCCCUUCAAGUGCUUUGUGAAAGCCCACGGCUCAACCGUGGAAUUGCUUGGCAU
Molecule: ribosomal RNA, 275 nt
Filed under: uncultured bacterium
Lineage: Bacteria
Description: partial 16S ribosomal RNA
Rfam family: Bacterial small subunit ribosomal RNA
Source: RNAcentral